GAUGUGGAAGACAAGAAUAUGAAAGACUGGAUCCACUCAUGCAUAAGGCAAUCCACAGGAGAGAAGGGAGGCAGCUGUUGCAUGCCUCAAGAGACCUUCUGAUGCCAAAAAACAAACACUACUUUGUAUGGAUCCCUGCUGGAAAAGGCACACAGUUCAGAUUGUGUUAAAUGAUCAACAUCCUCAAAGCCAUCAGAAUGUGGCAUUCAACUCUCAUUAGGAGAUGGCCAUUAAGUGCAGGUUAAGGUGCAGCAUCAGCAACAGCUGAGUCCUGGCAUCACUGUGUAUCUGGUGAGUGCAGUGAAGCAAGGUGAAAAGGAUGUGGGUAAUUCAUCACACAUCUUUGGCAAUUUUUGGCAACAGUAUGUCUCUCAGCACCAACAAAGUGCUGAAUAGAAACAUGUAAUGUUCUUAAUCAUAAAAAGCCAAAUUUUCAUAAUAUCUAGCAAUCUCAAGCAGAAAUGUACCUGCUGCACUAACAUGUAAUAUGCGUUCAGUCACAUAACUGGGCAACCAAGUAGCUUCUUAGGCAUUGCUAGCAAUUUACACAGACAAUUGUGGUAAAUCCAUUCACAGCUGUAGUUAAUGCAUACCACUCUAGAAGUAGGUACUGAAAAUCUAAUUCAUAGAGCUAGUUUUUUUUAAGGGGCCUCCUUUUUUGCCACCUAAA
This 670-nucleotide long non-coding RNA is filed under the name Cyanistes caeruleus (blue tit). RNAcentral's name for it is "lncRNA (ENSCCEG00000023583.1)". Lineage: Eukaryota; Metazoa; Chordata; Aves; Passeriformes; Paridae. The record is from RNAcentral.